Molecule: ribosomal RNA, 814 nt
Filed under: uncultured bacterium
Lineage: Bacteria
Description: bacterial SSU rRNA
Rfam family: Bacterial small subunit ribosomal RNA
Source: RNAcentral
AUGCGGAGGCCUCCGGGCCAAGGAUGUGUGACUGAGCGGCGGACGGGUGAGUAACGCGUGGGUAACCUGCCCUAUACAGGGGGAUAACAGCUAGAAAUGGCUGCUAAUACCGCAUGAGCGCACAGCUCCGCAUGGAGCGGUGUGAAAAACUCCGGUGGUAUAGGAUGGACCCGCGUCCGAUUAGCUAGUUGGUGGGGUAAAGGCCCACCAAGGCGACGAUCGGUAGCCGACCUGAGAGGGUGACCGGCCACAUUGGGACUGAGACACGGCCCAAACUCCUACGGGAGGCAGCAGUGGGGGAUAUUGCACAAUGGGGGGAACCCUGAUGCAGCGACGCCGCGUGAGUGAAGAAGUAUCUCGGUAUGUAAAGCUCUAUCAGCAGGGAAGAAGCAAGACGGUACCUGACUAAGAAGCCCCGGCUAACUACGUGCCAGCAGCCGCGGUAAUACGUAGGGGGCGAGCGUUAUCCGGAUUUACUGGGUGUAAAGGGAGCGUAGACGGCAUGGCAAGUCUGGAGUGAAAGCCCGGGGCCCAACCCCGGGACUGCUCUGGAAACUGCCAUGCUAGAGUGCUGGAGAGGUAAGUGGAAUUCCUAGUGUAGCGGUGAAAUGCGUAGAUAUUAGGAGGAACACCAGUGGCGAAGGCGGCUUACUGGACAGUGACUGACGUUGAGGCUCGAAAGCGUGGGGAGCAAACAGGAUUAGAUACCCUGGUAGUCCACGCCGUANACGAUGGAUACUAGGUGUCGGUGGGCAAAGCCCAUCGGUGNCGCCGCAAACGCAAUAAGUAUCCCACCUGGGGAGUACGUUCGCAA